UAAUCUCUCACAUCUUAUUUUUGGGUUUAAUCGCUCGCUGAUAAGAUUGUGGAUUUGGAUAAUCUGUUCUUUACAGAACCGUUAUCUUAAUUUUAAUGUCAAAAGCUUCUCUGAAAAGAGAUAGAUGCUUGAGAUGAUAGAAUAAGUUUUAACCACUUUUUUGCUCUCUCGCGAUACCUCUGUCUCAUACAAAUUUUCAUUUGAGCAUCUUUGAUACCUUUAAUUAUUACCUACGAUUGUUACAGUUGUAACAGUUGUUUGAAU
This 264-nucleotide unclassified non-coding RNA is filed under the name uncultured fungus. Its description in RNAcentral is "sequence contains ITS2". Lineage: Eukaryota; Fungi. The record is from RNAcentral.